AACGCAUAUUGCACUCUCUGGUAUUCCGGAGAGUAUGCCUGUUUGAGGGUCGUUCGAAUAAAAAUCGACGUUUUUUCGUCGGAAUUGGGUUUUUCUUUUUAACCUUGGGUUUUAAAGUAACCUAAAAUUGUUGAAUUUUUCGAUGAACUCAUCUGAAUUUUUUUUAUUUUGUGGGUUUGUCUUAAAACGAGCAUUGGACGCGAUCAUUUUUCGUGGUUAUCGCGUUCAUGAUUUUUUUCAUAAUUCGACCUCAAAUCAGGUAAGAGUACCCGCUGAACUUAA
Molecule: unclassified non-coding RNA, 282 nt
Filed under: uncultured fungus
Lineage: Eukaryota; Fungi
Description: partial contains 5.8S ribosomal RNA, internal transcribed spacer 2, and large subunit ribosomal RNA
Rfam family: 5.8S ribosomal RNA (bases 1-52)
Source: RNAcentral